RNAcentral lists this ribosomal RNA (465 nucleotides) under uncultured bacterium. RNAcentral's name for it is "partial 16S ribosomal RNA". It matches the Rfam family "Bacterial small subunit ribosomal RNA", at positions 28 to 507 of the family's 1533-position model. The record is from RNAcentral.
GACGAACGCUGGCGGCGUGCUUAACACAUGCAAGUCGAACGGAAAGGCCCUGCUUGCAGGGUACUCGAGUGGCGAACGGGUGAGUAACACGUGGGUGAUCUGCCCUGCACUUCGGGAUAAGCCUGGGAAACUGGGUCUAAUACCGGAUAGGAGCCAUUUUUAGUGUGAUGGUUGGAAAGUUUUUUCGGUGUAGGAUGAGCUCGCGGCCUAUCAGCUUGUUGGUGGGGUAAUGGCCUACCAAGGCGGCGACGGGUAGCCGGCCUGAGAGGGUGGACGGCCACAUUGGGACUGAGAUACGGCCCAGACUCCUACGGGAGGCAUAAGUGGGGAAUAUUGCACAAUGGGCGCAAGCCUGAUGCAGCGACGCCGCGUGGGGGAUGACGGCCUUCGGGUUGUAAAAUCCUUUCGCUAGGGACGAAGCUUUUUGUGACGGUACCUAGAUAAGAAGCACCGGCUAACUACGUG